This 253-nucleotide ribosomal RNA is filed under the name uncultured bacterium. RNAcentral describes it as "partial 16S ribosomal RNA". It matches the Rfam family "Bacterial small subunit ribosomal RNA", at positions 524 to 776 of the family's 1533-position model. The record is from RNAcentral.
UACGGAGGGGGCUAGCGUUGUUCGGAAUUACUGGGCGUAAAGCGCACGUAGGCGGCUUUGCAAGUUAGAGGUGAAAGCCCGGGGCUCAACUCCGGAAUUGCCUUUAAAACUGCAUCGCUAGAAUUGUGGAGAGGUAAGUGGAAUUCCGAGUGUAGAGGUGAAAUUCGUAGAUAUUCGGAAGAACACCAGUGGCGAAGGCGACUUACUGGACACAUAUUGACGCUGAGGUGCGAAAGCGGGGGGAGCAAACAGG